RNAcentral lists this long non-coding RNA (205 nucleotides) under Elaeis guineensis (African oil palm). Its description in RNAcentral is "long non-coding RNA (EGUI_LNC012603)". The record is from RNAcentral. Lineage: Eukaryota; Viridiplantae; Streptophyta; Magnoliopsida; Arecales; Arecaceae.
CUCAUGACUCACGAACUGACCAUGAAGCAACACUCUGAGGAGAAGAUCAGAAGAAAGAAGACUAUUGCUCUCAAGUCGACAGUUCAAGAAGAAGAAGAUACAGAAAAAUCAAAGAAUAGCAAGGAAGAUGAGGAUUUGGGCCUAAUCACCAGAAAGUUUAGACGCUUCAUGAGAAGAAAGAGACAAGGGAGUAAGAGAAGACCAC